Molecule: ribosomal RNA, 253 nt
Filed under: uncultured bacterium
Lineage: Bacteria
Description: partial 16S ribosomal RNA
Rfam family: Bacterial small subunit ribosomal RNA
Source: RNAcentral
UACGAAGGGGGCUAGCGUUGCUCGGAAUUACUGGGCGUAAAGCGCACGUAGGCGGUCUUUUAAGUCGGGGGUGAAAUCCUGGAGCUCAACUCCAGAACUGCCUUCGAUACUGGAAGGCUUGAGUCCGGGAGAGGUGAGUGGAAUUGCGAGUGUAGAGGUGAAAUUCGUAGAUAUUCGCAAGAACACCAGUGGCGAAGGCGGCUCACUGGCCCGGUACUGACGCUGAGGUGCGAAAGCGUGGGGAGCAAACAGG